Molecule: small RNA, 451 nt
Filed under: Malus domestica (apple)
Lineage: Eukaryota; Viridiplantae; Streptophyta; Magnoliopsida; Rosales; Rosaceae
Description: sRNA MD17G0214400
Source: RNAcentral
CACCUUCUUCAAGGGCCGUCGGGGCUUGAUCUUGAAUGGGUGGAAGUUCUUCAAGGGGCGUUGGGGCUUGAUCUUGAAGGAGGAUUUCACGAAGAACAAAGAGGGCUUUCUUGAUCCUUCGGGAUUUGCUUGAGAGCUUCAAAGUUUCGAGGCUUCAAGGCUUUGGUGUGGUGUGACUUCUCUUCCAAUUUGGGAGUAGAGAAAGUGUAUGUAAAAAUCCUCUCUUGAUUCUUUGAUGGAGGAGCCUAUUUAUAGGCUUUGGGAAUGAACCACCACCAUCCAUUUGUUUUGGUGGAUGUUGUAGGUGAAUUGGUGGAUUGUUGUAGGUGAAUUUGGGUGGAGGUUGUAGGUGAAUUUGGGUGGAUUGUUGUAGGUGAAUUUGGGUGUAUGUUGUGAAUUUGGGUGGAUUGUUGUAGGUGAAUUUGGGUGUAUGUUGUAGGUGAAUUUGGGU